AACCCUGAGGCGUGAUGACGAUGCACUACGGUGCAGAAGUAGUUGAUGCCCUGCUUCCAGGAAAAUCCUCUAAGCUCCAGGUAACAUUAAAUCGUACCCCAAACCGACACAGGUGGUCAGGUAGAGAAUACCAAGGCGCUUGAGAGAACUCGGGUGAAGGAACUAGGCAAAAUGGUGCCGUAACUUCGGGAGAAGGCACGCUGGCAUGUAGGUGAAGUCCCUUGCGGAUGGAGCUGAAGCCAGUCGAAGAUACCAGCUGGCUGCAACUGUUUAAUAAAAACACAGCACUGUGCAAACACGAAAGUGGACGUAUACGGUGUGACGCCUGCCCGGUGCUGGAAGGUUAAUUGAUGGGGUCAGCCGCAAGGCGAAGCUCUUGAUCGAAGCCCCAGUAAACGGCGGCCGUAACUAUAACGGUCCUAAGGUAGCGAAAUUCCUUGUCGGGUAAGUUCCGACCUGCACGAAUGGCGUAAUGAUGGCCAGGCUGUCUCCACCCGAGACUCAGUGAAAUUGAACUCGCUGUGAAGAUGCAGUGUACCCGCGGCAAGACGGAAAGACCCCGUGAACCUUUACUAUAGCUUGACACUGAACAUUGAGCCUUGAUGUGUAGGAUAGGUGGGAGGCUUUGAAGCGUGGACGCCAGUCUGCGUGGAGCCAUCCUUGAAAUACCACCCUUUAAUGUUUGAUGUUCUAACUCUGCCCCAUAAUCUGGGGUGAGGACAGUGUCUGGUGGGUAGUUUGACUGGGGCGGUCUCCUCCCAAAGAGUAACGGAGGAGCACGAAGGUUAGCUAAUCACGGUCGGACAUCGUGAGGUUAGUGCAAAGGCAUAAGCUAGCUUGACUGCGAGAGUGACGGCUCGAGCAGGUACGAAAGUAGGUCUUAGUGAUCCGGUGGUUCUGAAUGGAAGGGCCAUCGCUCAACGGAUAAAAGGUACUCCGGGGAUAACAGGCUGAUACCGCCCAAGAGUUCAUAUCGACGGCGGUGUUUGGCACCUCGAUGUCGGCUCAUCACAUCCUGGGGCUGAAGUAGGUCCCAAGGGUAUGGCUGUUCGCCAUUUAAAGUGGUACGCGAGCUGGGUUUAGAACGUCGUGAGACAGUUCGGUCCCUAUCUGCCGUGGGCGUUGGAAGAUUGAGAGGGGUUGCUCCUAGUACGAGAGGACCGGAGUGAACGCACCACUGGUGUUCGGGUUGUCAUGCCAAUGGCAUUGCCCGGUAGCUAAGUGCGGAAAAGAUAAGCGCUGAAAGCAUCUAAGCGCGAAACUUGCCUCAAGAUGAGUCUUCCCUGGGCCUUUAAGGCCCCUGAAGGAACGUUUAAGACUAAGACGUUGAUAGGCUGGGUGUGUAAGUGCAGCGAUGCAUUGAGCUAACCAGUACUAAUGAUCCGUGAGGCUUAACCUUACAACACCGAAGGUGUUUUAG
Molecule: ribosomal RNA, 1420 nt
Filed under: Serratia marcescens
Lineage: Bacteria; Pseudomonadati; Pseudomonadota; Gammaproteobacteria; Enterobacterales; Yersiniaceae
Description: partial 23S ribosomal RNA
Rfam family: Bacterial large subunit ribosomal RNA
Source: RNAcentral